CUCACCUUAUCCCUAAAGGCCCUGUCACACUGUCCCGAAAUUGACUCCCGAUGGACACACGAAUAUGGAAUUGUGAAUUUCGCACGAAGAUGGCCCCGAACUUGGUCAUCGGCCAAGCAACAGCCGAAGCAACAGCCGAAGCAAGUACGAUGCCUACAGAAGGCCACACGAUGGCACCCGAACCACCCACGAAGGCGACACGUGACCUCCCGAUGGUAUAAAAGCUUCGGCCGUGUGGGAAAUCAAAUUCUUGAUCGGAGAUUAUUGAACACAAGGUAAAUUCUACUUUAAGUCUACGUUAACAUGCCACCCAAGGCAGGGAGAGGCAGACGGAAGAAGCUGGCUGUUAAAUACACUCAGAAGAGGAAACUGAGGUCCAAUAACACAGCACUGAGUCUGCAACCAGAGAGAGAAAGGGGAGGAAAUGCAAGAAAGUCGGGCCAACUAAAACUCCAGAGCGGCCCCCAGAGGGUUCCAGGUCUCCUCAGCAGUCCGAAGAGUCUCGGCAGCAUUCACCUUCUCCUCGUCGUAACAGACAUCCCGAAUCCUCGGAGGAUGAAGAUGAGUCAGCCUCCCCCGCCCUCCCUGCAGGCAAGUCCAAGCCUGAAGUGGGCAAGGGCGACAAAGGGAAAGGCAAGGCCCAGAAGGAGAACCCACCCCCUGGUGUAUCAUACAGCUUCACAGAGGCGCAGGAGGAGGCAAUCGCUUGCUGGGUGAAGAGUAAGAAGCUACUGUAUGACAUGAAGGACAAACAGUACAAAGAGAAGGCAUUCAAGAGGCACCUAUGGGAGGGAAAGGCUGCGGAGUACAGGUUGGAUUAUCAUUCAAUUCUGAAAUGGUAUCAAACAGAGGACUCGAUUCUCAAAG
Molecule: long non-coding RNA, 867 nt
Organism: Gymnodraco acuticeps
Lineage: Eukaryota; Metazoa; Chordata; Actinopteri; Perciformes; Bathydraconidae
Exons: 3
Source: RefSeq, a predicted model, not a curated record